Arachis ipaensis is the source of this 3358-nucleotide non-coding RNA. NCBI's taxonomy places the organism in Eukaryota, Viridiplantae, Streptophyta, Magnoliopsida, Fabales, Fabaceae. The record is from RefSeq and is a predicted model, not a curated record.
GAACAUGAAUAAUAUACAUUUUUGUGAAUGAUAAAGUCUUUGAAAUAUAGAGAUAAGUCCAUGAGUUAUGUUAGACUAUGUUUGGAAGGUAAACUGUGACUAAAAGAUAGAGAUUGGGAUACAAAGAAUGAAAAGCAGAGGCUAAAUUAUAUUUCUGUAUUGUGUUUGGUGUUAAGUGUACAAGAUUGAGUCAUGUCUCAGUAUCCUGUUUGAUUUAGGAUAAAUAUAGAGAUUGAAAUAAGUAAAAUUACUUAAAUAUCCUUGUUAAAUAAAAAAUAAAAACAAAAUAAACCUUAAUCCCUCUUCUCCCCCAUACCACCAUUCCUAAUUUUAUCGGCACCACUGGUCACCACCAUCAUCGUUAUCAUCUAAUUGAGAAAGAAGAGGUUCUUUGUCAUUGACUCAGACGGAAAGAAAAUUAAGGACUUAGAGAGCUUGCUGAGGAUCACACGAGCGCUGGAGGAGGCCAUUGGUGCCGACAACAAUGGUGUCGGUGUCGGGAUGACUACAGUGGUGGCCAAGUCGGUGGUGAAAAUAGUUGUAAUGAGGAGGCUUGAGUUUGUGGAAUGGCUUGGGAGCAUCGAGGUACAGUAUCCUAAAUCAAGUUAAACACACAUCUCAGGUACAUUGUAUCUUGGAUAUUAAACAACGCGGUGAAACACAAUUCAGGUGCUACUAGGAUACACACAAAACACGUUAAUCGGGUAUUAUGUACCUGAGAUUCACUCGUAAUGGAAAAGUGGGCAUAGUAUCCGAGAUUUGUUGAAACGCUAUAAAAAGUGUGUAGAUGAGAUCCUUGUAUUCAUUAUAACUUUUUCAGGUUUGGAUAGUUUGAAAAGCAUACAUGGCUGGACGAGGGGUUUCGUCCGAUCAAAAAACAUUAACAGGUUGAAUGCAACCUGACAUGUGUCCACUGAUGAACUUUGAGUCACCUCGGUUGCUCUUGGCACGUCGUGUGACUUUAGGGCUCCCGCUGUCUGACAUGCUACUACCUUAUAUCAGGGAGGCUGGGUUCGGACAUGUAGUAGAGCUAAAGGAUUUCAUCUUCGACAAUACCUUACUCUCUGCAUUUGUGGAGCCGUGGAGACUAGAGACCCAUAUUUUCUACCUUCUGUAGGGCGAGGUCAAUAUCAUACUUUAGGAUGUGGCAUACCAUCUUGGAUUGCACACAGAUGGUGACCUGAUAGGCAACUACACUAGAGAUUUCCAGUAGUUCCAUGGGCAUCCCACAUGGCAGUGGAUUGAGGAUUUGCUCAGUGAUAGACCUCCAUCACAACUCGAAGACAAGAAGCAGAAUUUUGGGCUAAAAAUGACUUGGCUUAGGAACAGGGUGACCCACAUUCCACCAGGGGUUGAUGCAGCUACUCUCGGCCAGUAUGCAAGAUGUUACUUACUUAUGUUGAUUGGAGGAUACUUAUUUACAGACAAGUCAGCCAACCUUGUCCCUGUCAGAUGGAUGUCACUUUCUGGAGGACUUUAAUAGUUGCAAAAGAUUGUCAUGGGGCUCUGCAUUGCUAUAGCACACCUAUCAUUCAUUGUGCAGCGCUGUCCAACAUAAUAUGACGGACAUUGUCGAGUGCGUGCCGUUAGUCAUGUCGUGGAUCUACCAUAGUUUCCCGACUUUCUGUCCUGCCGGAUACGAUAUGCUCAUAUUUCUUCUUACUUCAAGGUUGGCGGGACUUGGACAGCAGAGUCGGGACCACCAUCGUGAUAGAGGUCUUAGCUUGCGGUGCAGUCUGGAUGCACUCAGGUUUGACGAGUUCCAGUGGACACCGUAUAAAGAUCCCCAGCUACACAGACGACACCUGAAUGUAUUAGGAGCAUUGAAGAGAUUCGUACAUAGAGAUCCGUGGUGCCGUUAGUGUGCUUUCACUUUGUAGAGUUCCAUUAUAUGGACAAGGUAAAGAGACAGCUUGGUGGUCAUUAGCAUUGGCAAGAGGGCCUGGUCAAUGUGGAUAAGUUCUUGUUCAUGACGACCUGGGGUGAUGAUGUGUGGUGGCCUAAAAAACACGGUGCUUGGUAUGAUAUGUGGAGGGACCGUGGCCACCAACAUAGGAUGGUCACCAUUGAGGGUGACCCAGAUCCUCAGCUCAUACAGGACUAUUUAUUAUGGUGGCAGGAAGUGUGUACUGUUCAUUUUUUCUCUGGGGAUGAGGUAUUGGUUGAGCUGAGGGAUGCGGCCCCAUCGGCGAACAUUCCCUCGGUGGCCCUAAAUCAUCGGGAUGUGUUAUACCUUCCACCGGAUGCUCCAGAUCAUAGGCGAUGUUCUAGGAAACACGUUAUAGAUUAUAUCUAUAGGCCAAUCUGGAAGGCCUGGGCUCAUGAAGGAUGCCAGCACAACAAGAUGUGCAUUUGGCAGAUGAGGAGGCAGAGUAUGCAUGCCAGGAGGAGAUCUCAGAGGUCCUUCCAGUUACUACCCAGGAGGAUGUCCCAUCACCCACAUUCAUUGCUGGGCAUUAGGCGGCUAUUGCUAGGGACUUCAUGCCAGGUACAUCCUCAGUAGCACAAUAGCAUGAUCCAUUGUUCACAGUAGGACAGAAAGGUGAUGGCACCGAUAUGUUGGAUCAGAUUAACUUCGACAUGAACACACUGAUAAACCCCAAUUUUGUGGUUUAUCUUAUACUAAUUUGAGUGGUUUUCUCAACAUAUCUCACACUUAUUCACUGAUUUUUGCUUGUUUUUGUGAUUCCUUUGUAGUUGAGCUUGAACGAUAAAAUUAUGUUAUUUGAAGCUUUAAUUGGUUGAUUUUAUUUCACUAUUUCAUCCCAUUGGUGCCUUGAUAGGUGUGUUCAAAUAUUUCAGGUUAUAUAGGGUAGGAAUGGAAAGUGAAGAGGAUAGCAUACUAGAGUAAGGAAUUAUGAAGAAAAUUGGAGCCUCAAAUUUCUGCUAUCUCGCGUACACAAGCACUCUAGCUACGUACGCAACCUUGUUUCGUGCGCCCUCGCGUACGCGAGUAUAUUGGUCGCAUACGCGAGCUGAUGAAAACGUGCCUCAUUAAUGAGAGCAUGUGACUCACGAUCUCAGAGGGUUUUGGACCCCUUUCCAAGCCCAAUUUGGUGCCAAUUGAAGAGAAAAUGAUAGGGGAUCAUCCAAGGGAGAAGACACAACAAUCACAAUAGAGAAUUUUGUUCUUUGUUUCCUAAAGAGAGAAACACUUACUUCUCUCUAGGGUUUAGUUUAUUUUGAUCAUCUUUUGUUUGAAUUUCUGGAUUGGAGCUUAUUAAUUCUAGUUCGAUUGUCUUAAUUUUAAUUUCCUUAGUUCUAAUUCUACUUAGUUCCUUUGUUAGUGCUAUGUUCUUCUCUUCUCCUUAGUUUUUUUAUUUCUCAUUUUGUGAACCUUGGCAAUUUUGAAUUCAAU